This 569-nucleotide ribosomal RNA is filed under the name uncultured bacterium. Its description in RNAcentral is "bacterial SSU rRNA". It matches the Rfam family "Bacterial small subunit ribosomal RNA", at positions 214 to 783 of the family's 1533-position model. The record is from RNAcentral.
AUUGUUUCAAGAAGAGGUUGCGUCUGAUUAGCUAGUUGGCGGGGUAAAGGCCCACCAAGGCUACGAUCAGUAGCUGGUCUGAGAGGAUGAUCAGCCACACUGGGACUGAGAUACGGCCCAGACUCCUACGGGAGGCAGCAGUGAGGAAUAUUGCGCAAUGGGCGAAAGCCUGACGCAGCAACGCCGCGUGUAGGAUGAAAUCCUUCGGGAUGUAAACUACUGUUAGAGGGGAAGAAAUCCCGGUUACGCCGGGAGUGACGGUACCCUCAGAGAAAGCCACGGCUAACUCUGUGCCAGCAGCCGCGGUAAUACAGGGGUGGCAAGCGUUGUCCGGAAUUACUGGGUGUAAAGGGUGCGUAGGCGGGUCGGUAAGUCAGUGGUCAAAUCCUAUAGCUUAACUAUAGACUAUCCAUUGAUACUGCUGAUCUUGAGUGCGAGAGAGAUGAGUGGAAUUCCAAGUGUAGCGGUGAAAUGCGUAGAGAUUUGGAAGAACACCAGUAGCGAAGGCGGCUCAUUAGCUCGUAACUGACGCUGAGGCACGAAAGCAUGGGUAGCAAACAGGAUUAGAU